UGACGACCGGCGCACGGGUCGCGGAACGCGUAUCGGAACCUCGCCCCUCGUCAGGGGAACAGCCCAGAGAAACCCGGACCAUCGCCCCAUCGGUAACACCUAUCGCACGAUACCGCGCCCAAGACCCUCGGACAGGGACGGCCACGCGUACCACCAGUCAGACGGUGAGGUAACGGCCCACCAUAACAACGAUGGUUAGGGGCCCUCGAGAGGGGGACCCCCCACACUCGGUACCGAGACACGGACCAGACCCCUACGGGAGGCAGCAGUGAGGAAUACCGGACAACGGGCGGGAGCCCGACCCAGCCACGCCGCGUGCAGGAUGACCGCCCUACGGGUUGUAAACCGCCCCCAUACGGGAAGAAACGCACCUACGAGUAGGUGUCUGACGGUACCGUAAGAAUAAGGACCGGCUAACUCCCGUGCCAGCAGCCGCGGUAAUACGGAAGGUCCGAGCGUUAUCCGGAAUCAUUUGGGUUUUAAAGGGUCCGUAGGUGGGCCAUUUAAGUCAGGGGUGAAAGUCUGCGGCUCAACCGUAGAAUUUGCCUUUCGAUACUGGUGGUCUUUGAGUCGUUGUGGGGUUGCCGGAACAUGUGGUGUAGCGGUGAAUGCAUAGAUAUCACAUAGAAACACCGAUCGCGAAGGCAGGUGACCAACAAACGUAC
RNAcentral lists this ribosomal RNA (665 nucleotides) under uncultured bacterium. Its description in RNAcentral is "bacterial SSU rRNA". It matches the Rfam family "Bacterial small subunit ribosomal RNA", at positions 89 to 740 of the family's 1533-position model. The record is from RNAcentral.